Molecule: ribosomal RNA, 501 nt
Filed under: uncultured bacterium
Lineage: Bacteria
Description: partial 16S ribosomal RNA
Rfam family: Bacterial small subunit ribosomal RNA
Source: RNAcentral
AUUGAACGCUGGCGGCAGGCUUAACACAUGCAAGUCGAGCGGGGGAAGGUAGCUUGCUACCGGACCUAGCGGCGGACGGGUGAGUAAUGCUUAGGAAUCUGCCUAUUAGUGGGGGACAACAUCUCGAAAGGGAUGCUAAUACCGCAUACGUCCUACGGGAGAAAGCAGGGGAUCUUCGGACCUUGCGCUAAUAGAUGAGCCUAAGUCGGAUUAGCUAGUUGGUGGGGUAAAGGCCUACCAAGGCGACGAUCUGUAGCGGGUCUGAGAGGAUGAUCCGCCAGACUGGGGCGGGGACAAGGCCCAGACUUGUACGGGAGGCAGCAGUGGGGAAUAUUGGACAGUGGGGGGAACCCUGAUCCAGCCAUGCCGCGUGUGUGAAGAAGGCCUUAUGGUUGUAAAGCACUUUAAGCGGGGAGGAGGCUACUUUAGUUAAUACCUAGAGAUAGUGGACGUUACUCGCAGAAUAAGCACCGGCUAACUCUGUGCCAGCAGCCGCCGCAG